This is a non-coding RNA of Odocoileus virginianus texanus, 4194 nucleotides long. The record is from RefSeq and is a predicted model, not a curated record. Lineage: Eukaryota; Metazoa; Chordata; Mammalia; Artiodactyla; Cervidae.
UGCUCUGUUCAGACCCUGGGAACACGCUCACGUGUGAGGUCGUCACUCCCCCAGCCUGUCACCGAGAUGACAUACCUGAAGAUGACCCAAUUGGCAUGAGUCAGGGUAACCUUUUCAUCUUGGACACUUUCUUAAAAGUCUCUAAAGAGGAUCCCAAAAUGUGCUCACAUGAGGCCUCUCACGUUCCAAACCUCCCUGAAUAAAUGCAGUGAAACUCGAUCAGUGACCUUCUGCGCACGAGCUGUAGAGUGAGCAGGAUUCCUCCUCUGGCCUCUAAAGACCCAGGUAACUGACUUCUACAGGAGACGAGCCAGGUCUGUAAGGAACAAACUCAUUAGAUUCUGAAAAGGACCUGAACUAAAAGGCAAAUGAUCUCACACUGAAGGCCUCGGACUUCACCAGGCCCAGAGAGGAGCCCCGGUCCUGCCCCAGCUCAGAGCACUUGAACUCCCUCCAGCGGCUGGACCCUUGGCUGCCGCACGUGAGGGGUGGGGUGGGCCGUUCAUUAGGACAGGGACGGCUGGGUGAGUGGGGUCAAGGGUGGCAAUCUGGGGGCUCUCUGACUUACAAGCCUAUCAGAGAGCAGAGCCCCGUGAAGGCUUGGCCAGCUUCUGACUCCCCCUGGCCUGUCCACUCCCUGGUCUGCACAGCCACGGGGAGGCUCUGGGUCUGUAGCUUCCACAGCCGCGGGCUCGCUUACUGCUCACACGGGGUGAGACAGUGUGCGCUCCCUGGAUGAGCCAGUUUCCUGGAGCAGUGAGCUAAGCUUUAGGGACCGACAGAAAAUCUCAGGUGUGGCCACUCCGGAAGGGGCAGACCCACCGAGGACGAGAUGAUACUCAUCUACAUCCUGGGAUGCUAUUUACUGAUUUGUACAGUGUGAUGCUUUAGUACGGCUUUUUCAAGGUGAGGAUGCUAGUGGGCUGGGGGCGGGGGUGGUCAGGAGAGGCACACCACAGAAUGAACUGAGAACUGACUUAGGAGAAAAGAGGUUCACCUAUGAGGAAAAAAAAGUGCUGGGGAGGAACCGACUAGCAGUCAGCCUAGGGGCUUAACUUGGAUGGAGCUGGCUCCUAGAAACCCACUCCCCACACGAUUCUGGGCUUACUGUGCCUGUAUCAGCGAAGAGUCCAUUAAAGCCAGCCACACUCUGUGUGAUCAGAAGACCCCCUCCCUCCAUUCCACACAAGUUUACUGAGAACUUCCACAUAACAAGCAGUAAAGUCAGGGGAGACCAUGUCUUUAAAAUGUUAAGGAAAAAUAGCCAUUAUCCUGGUCUCCCGGAACCUUUCCAUGUGCUUCUAAAAGAAAUGCAUUUCUCUCCCAUGAAGCCCGCAGGACACCUGAUAGCACACUGACCAAGGUGGGGCUCUUAAUUCACUUAGUUAUUCCUGAGUUGAAGUUGCGAGUUUAUUUGGCAUUAGCAACUGAGGGACGAAUAUUCCUGGUGGUAAAAAAUGUUCAAAGCAACUUUCAAGAAAACUUAGAUGAAAAAGGCACCGAGCUGAGUGCUGCAGGGCAGACACUGUGGGCAGUGUCCGAUUAGCUGUUGGCCAGGCAGCCGGUGGAGCCUAAGCUCAAGCUGCUUUUGGCUCCAUCAUUUUCUCUACAAGUUCAAGUGUCGAUGGCAUUACCUGUUUGCAGCCUGGAGUGUGUAAAGGACAUAACACUUUCCCACUUCACUCCAUUUAAAAGCUUAAAAGCUAAGAUCUGGACCCUCUUUCCGCUUAAAAUGCAUUUAUCUGCUACUCUGUCAAAGGAGUGAUGAAGUAGCAGCGUAGAGGACAGAAGGCUCGGCAUCUGUUCAGCUGCUGUUUUGUAGAAUCCUUACCCAGCCACAUCCUCGCAGAGCAGAGCAGCGCAGCUGAGGGGAGGUGCUGGCAUUCUCAACGGUGCUGACAAGAACCCUUGCCCUGAAAAACUGGCUUCUCCUCCCACGUGCUACAGUGAUGUUGAUUCAGCACCACAGAGUAUGUGCCUUGGCCCCACCAUUCUCCCAUAAUAGGGUAACACAUGAAUCUGGUCAUGUUGGUGGUGGGAUUCUCUCCAUGAGGAUGCACAGAGAGAGAAAGAGGGGCACAGAGGACAUCGCUGCUCUUCCGAGUCUGCCCGGAUGCCACGUAACCCGAGUAUAAAACACCUAGCUGAGACUGCUUUCACAGCCACGUGAAGAGCAUAGCCAAUUCAGAUCAAGCAGAAGAGGGACAGGCACAUUGUGAAAGAGGGCAGCAACACCGAGGGGCUCAGGCCACGACUGCCUGUGUGCACAGCUGUCUAUCCUACUGAACGAGGGAAAUGGUGAACAUUAGUUAUUACGUGGAAGACGAAAUGGAGGAGGCUGGUUAGAUAAUCUGAGUUUGGGAAAUUUAGGUUGGAGAAAGUUAAUUUCUCUGCUGUAAACUUGGCUAUUCUAACGUGCACACUGAAGAGGGGGUAGAAUGUGACAUUUCCUGAGUCUGAUCUGAGAACACUUUUGCCAAGAAACAUCUUACAGGACUAGUUACAUAGGAACACAUUUGAGGACUGGCUUCUCUAUUAAAGACAGUGACAUGAUCUAAUAAUUUAUAUGCUUUACGAUGUAGUUAAAUCAGAUCUGAACUUAAGCCAAGGCCAGUGGUUUUUAAACUGGUCUAGCCUUACCGCUAGCAGUCUACCAGAGCUUUCAAGGAGUCACAGGCUCAUUUUUUCAGGGGAUCAAUGUUCAGAUCCUUGACUUCCUGUUGCACUCUAUCCAAAGACUCAUCAGCAUGAGAAGAUGCCCUUUUCUCCCCUUACAGAAAGAAGUAGGUCUUCUCCCGACAUUCAGUCUUACUGUAGAGCAGGACUCGAGAUAUAGUUUCAAAGCACAGUGUUUGGAAAGUGAAAGCCUCUUAACAGGAUACCGAUCCUUCUCCAGUGCUGAUGGUUUCCAGUUCCUUGCUUUCAACAAAACUGAAGGAGUACCCAGAUAUCUGAGUACUUUAGCAUGUAAUUCUGAAGGAGAUGGCUUUACCCUGCUGUCACUAACUCCUCCUGUUCUCAUUUGUCUGUGAAAAAGGAUCACUAGCAUUCCCAUUUGUACAACUGAAAGCGGAGAGCAGAACUGAUACUGUCCCACGGCCGUUCUACCAGAGAUAACGGUAAUCCACACAGAGAUCAAAGAAUGGAGGAGAAGCCUUCUUUGACUCAUUACAUUGCCAGUGGAAUUUUACUGUGUUUAGUUCUUUAUUACAUGUGUACUCUGUUUAUUAAACAAGCUGAAUUCAGAAGAAAUUUAAAAUAUGUGGAGCCUUUUUAAAUGAUGGUGUAGGUAGGAUGAUGUGUAAUUUUGUUACAGAUAUGCAACUAAACAGUAUAUAAGCCAAGAAUAAUUAGGCUACAAUUUUGUAAAGUAGAAUAAAAAUAUAAAUUCAAUGAGUAAAAAAAAAGUGGCAUUUCCUACCAUUAAAAAUUCCCUUGUUUGUAGAAUUUUUUGAAAGGAUGGUCGUAUCUAUCACCAAUUGUAUUUAGAACCUUUGGCUGUAUUUAAAGGGAAAUGGAAAUAUCUUACCUGAAGAUGCAGUAUCUACCAUGUACCACAUGCACCUUUGCAACUGUUCAGGAUGAAAUCAUUAGCCAUCAAUGUAGAAAUGCGUAAGGGGACCCAUGAGUUUUCCACAGUCACUUAUGAGGUCUCUGAGCAUAAAAUUUUAAGAAGACUGAUCCAGGGUCACUAAGGGUGAGUUUUAUUUGGACUUAAGAAGGAUGGUUGAAGGGGGCUCUAGUUCUUUUAAUUUCUAGAAGUGUAGCUGAUCUUUCCAUAUAGGUGAUAUCCAGCUUUUUGGAGACAACCCUAAAAGCUAUAUUCUUACCAACAGAAAGCUGAUCAUUAGAUAAAGAAAUAUGCAGAAUUAUAAAACUGGCGUUUGAAAACUACUCAGUGAUUUUGUGUCAGGCUUUUCAUUCUCAAAAUAUUUUCUUCCUGAAGAACCAGUUCCAUGGUGACCCUGUCUCAGAAAUGUCCAUACUUAUUUCUCAAUAGACUUUAAAAAGCUGCAUUUGUAAACGUGUGUUUAUUAUUAAAGCUUAAUUUAUUUUUUAUAUAAAUAGUGUGUGCUUGUGUGUACAUAGAGAAUCAUGUGAAUGUAUCACACAAAUGUUGGCUGUUGUUAAUGUGAGAAUUAAACAGCUAUAUCACAUUUAAAAAAAAUAAAACUUUGUCUCAUUCAUAGAUUA